RNAcentral lists this ribosomal RNA (774 nucleotides) under uncultured Neocallimastigales. RNAcentral's name for it is "partial large subunit ribosomal RNA". It matches the Rfam family "Eukaryotic large subunit ribosomal RNA", at positions 26 to 616 of the family's 3401-position model. Lineage: Eukaryota; Fungi; Neocallimastigomycota; Neocallimastigomycetes; Neocallimastigales. The record is from RNAcentral.
CGCAUCUGUGCAUGCAGCAUAUCAAUAAGCGGAGGAAAAGAAACUAACAAGGAUUCCCCUAGUAACGGCGAGUGAAGCGGGAAGAGCUCAAAUUAGAAAUCUUAAAGGGUUUCCCUUUACGAAUUGUAGUUUAAAGAAGUGUUUUCUGUUGAGGUUUUGGUAAAAGUUCUUUGGAAUAGGACAUCAUAGAGGGUGAGAAUCCCGUAUUCGACCUUUACUUUCAACUUUGUGAUACACUUUCAAAGAGUCGGAUUGUUUGGGAAUGCAGUCCAAAAUGGGUGGUAAAUUUCAUCUAAAGCUAAAUAUUGGCGAGAGACCGAUAGCGAACAAGUACCGUGAGGGAAAGAUGAAAAGAACUUUGAAAAGAGAGUUAAACAGUACGUGAAAUUGUCAAAAGGGAAGCGUUUGACACCAGUGUUGUUUUUCUGAAAAUCAAUUAAAGAACUGUUUAUGCUAAGCUGUUUAGACUUUAUCAGCUAACUGUUUAGUUUUGAGCUUUUCUUUAAUGCACUUUUCAGUUAACAAGUCAACAUCAAUUUCUUUUGCUGUAAAAAAGCUUGAGGAAGGUGGCUUGAGAUUCGUCUUAAGUGUUUAUAGCCUCUUGCCUAUGCAGUCGGAGAGAUUGAGGUCUGCAGCGUAGAUCCUUCGGGGCUAAAUGCAUUUGUGCUAAGUUAUAGCAUUUUAUAGACAACUUGUUGACUAUGAUUUGUCUUGUAGCUUACUCGCUUAUGUUAUUUUACCUACGCUUAGGAUGUUGAGCGCAUGUCUCUCUCU